GAUGAACGCUAGCGGCAGGCCUAAUACAUGCAAGCCGGACGGCAAGUUGAGUAGCAAUACUUGACCUAGAGUGGCGUAAGGGUGCGUAACACGUAUGCAAUCUGCCCACAGCCGGGAGAUAGCCCUCCGAAAGGAGGAUUAAUAUCCCAUAGGAAGAUGAGAUGGCAUCAUUUUAUUUUAAACUACGGGGCUGUGGAUGAGCAUGCGGUUGAUUAGCUAGUUGGCGGGGUAAAGGCCCACCAAGGCGAUGAUCAAUAGGGGACCUGAGAGGGUGAUCCCCCACACUGGCACUGAGAUACGGGCCAGACUCCUACGGGAGGCAGCAGGU
RNAcentral lists this ribosomal RNA (328 nucleotides) under uncultured bacterium. Its description in RNAcentral is "bacterial SSU rRNA". It matches the Rfam family "Bacterial small subunit ribosomal RNA", at positions 28 to 356 of the family's 1533-position model. The record is from RNAcentral.